GACGAACGCUGGCGGCGUGCUUAACACAUGCAAGUCGAACGGAAAGGCCCUGCUUUUGUGGGGUGCUCGAGUGGCGAACGGGUGAGUAACACGUGAGUAACCUGCCCUUGACUUUGGGAUAACUUCAGGAAACUGGGGCUAAUACCGGAUAGGAGCUCCUGCUGCAUGGUGGGGGUUGGAAAGUUUCGGCGGUUGGGGAUGGGCUCGCGGCUUAUCAGCUUGUUGGUGGGGUAGUGGCUUACCAAGGCUUUGACGGGUAGCCGGCCCGAGAGGGUGACCGGCCACAUUGGGACUGAGAUACGGCCCAGACUCCUACGGGAGGCAGCAGUGGGGAAUAUUGCACAAUGGGCGGAAGCCUGAUGCAGCAACGCCGCGUGCGGGAUGACGGCCUUCGGGUUGUAAACCGCUUUCGCCUGUGACGAAGCGUGAGUGACGGUAAUGGGUAAAGAAGCACCGGCUAACUACGU
This 467-nucleotide ribosomal RNA is filed under the name uncultured bacterium. RNAcentral describes it as "partial 16S ribosomal RNA". It matches the Rfam family "Bacterial small subunit ribosomal RNA", at positions 28 to 506 of the family's 1533-position model. The record is from RNAcentral.